GGCCUACCUCUUUGGGGCGAUCCAUCGUAGAGCCCUGUGAUGGAUCGCCCUGCAGAGGGAGGCC
RNAcentral lists this microRNA precursor (64 nucleotides) under Myotis lucifugus (little brown bat). RNAcentral describes it as "mir-9242 microRNA precursor family". It matches the Rfam family "mir-9242 microRNA precursor family". The record is from Rfam by way of RNAcentral. Lineage: Eukaryota; Metazoa; Chordata; Mammalia; Chiroptera; Vespertilionidae.